This 497-nucleotide ribosomal RNA is filed under the name uncultured bacterium. Its description in RNAcentral is "partial 16S ribosomal RNA". It matches the Rfam family "Bacterial small subunit ribosomal RNA", at positions 28 to 507 of the family's 1533-position model. The record is from RNAcentral.
GAUGAACGCUGGCGGCGUGCCUAAUACAUGCAAGUCGAGCGAACAGACGAGGAGCUUGCUCCUCUGACGUUAGCGGCGGACGGGUGAGUAACACGUGGAUAACCUACCUAUAAGACUGGGAUAACUUCGGGAAACCGGAGCUAAUACCGGAUAAUAUAUUGAACCGCAUGGUUCAAUAGUGAAAGACGGUUUUGCUGUCACUUAUAGAUGGAUCCGCGCCGCAUUAGCUAGUUGGUAAGGUAACGGCUUACCAAGGCGACGAUGCGUAGCCGACCUGAGAGGGUGAUCGGCCACACUGGAACUGAGACACGGUCCAGACUCCUACGGGAGGCAGCAGUAGGGAAUCUUUCGCAAUGGGCGAAAGCUUGACGGAGCAACGCCGCGUGAGUGAUGAAGGCCUUCGGAUCGUAAAACUCUGUUAUUAGGGAAGAACAAAUGUGUAAGUAACUAUGCACGUCUUGACGGUACCUAAUCAGAAAGCCACGGCUAACUACGUG